Molecule: long non-coding RNA, 336 nt
Organism: Cynoglossus semilaevis (tongue sole)
Lineage: Eukaryota; Metazoa; Chordata; Actinopteri; Pleuronectiformes; Cynoglossidae
Exons: 2
Source: RefSeq, a predicted model, not a curated record
CAGUGGAGGACGAUGACAGGUGGAAGAAUUUUAGACCAUUUCUUUUUAAAGAAUACAUUUGAGAUCUGUUCCAUAACAAUAACCACUUUACUGAGCCUUUUAAUUUGAUAUUCUUUUAAGUUUUUGUCCCCUGUUGUGAUGGAGCUGUUGGUCACACAAUAAAGUAAUGGUACGGAUAGUAAAACACAACUUAAGAGACAAAAACAAACAGGAAAUGGCUUAAGUAAUAUCAGGAAAAAUAAAAGGUGUUAAUAUUCUGACAAACAAACCUUAGUGUUUACGUACAGUCCACAGGGACAGGAAAUAAAAUGACUGUUGAUAUUGACAUUGUUUCUA